This 23-nucleotide non-coding RNA is filed under the name Cricetulus griseus (Chinese hamster). Lineage: Eukaryota; Metazoa; Chordata; Mammalia; Rodentia; Cricetidae. The record is from RNAcentral.
CCUCUGAGACUACCACUGCAGUU